UACGUAGGGGGCAAGCGUUGUUCGGAAUUACUGGGCGUAAAGGGCGCGUAGGCGGCUGCGUAAGUCGGGAGUGAAAGCCCGGGGCUCAACCCCGGAAUGUCUCUCGAAACUGCGCGGCUCGAGUGCGGAAGAGGCAACUGGAAUUCCCAGUGUAGCGGUGAAAUGCGUAGAUAUUGGGAAGAACACCUGAGGCGAAGGCGGGUUGCUGGGCCGACACUGACGCUGAGGCGCGAAAGCCAGGGGAGCAAACGGG
RNAcentral lists this ribosomal RNA (253 nucleotides) under uncultured bacterium. RNAcentral describes it as "partial 16S ribosomal RNA". It matches the Rfam family "Bacterial small subunit ribosomal RNA", at positions 524 to 776 of the family's 1533-position model. The record is from RNAcentral.